RNAcentral lists this transfer RNA (87 nucleotides) under Ilumatobacteraceae bacterium. Its description in RNAcentral is "tRNA-Ser". It matches the Rfam family "tRNA". From Rfam's summary of the family: Transfer RNA (tRNA) molecules are approximately 80 nucleotides in length. RNAcentral also lists the same sequence under 3 other names. Lineage: Bacteria; Bacillati; Actinomycetota; Acidimicrobiia; Acidimicrobiales; Ilumatobacteraceae. The record is from RNAcentral.
GGAACGGUGGCAGAGCGGCCUAAUGCACUUGUCUUGAAAACAAGAGGGUUAAUAGCCCCGAAGGUUCAAAUCCUUUCCGUUCCGCCA